GCUCAGGAUGAACGCUGGCGGCGUGCCUAACACAUGCAAGUCGAGCGAUCUUCUUCGGAAGAGAGCGGCGGACGGGUGAGUAACGCGUGGGUAACCUGCCCUGUACACACGGAUAACAUACCGAAAGGUAUGCUAAUACGAGAUAAUAUACUUUUAUCGCAUGGUAGAAGUAUCAAAGCUCCGGCGGUACAGGAUGGACCCGCGUCUGAUUAGCUAGUUGGUGAGGUAACGGCUCACCAAGGCGACGAUCAGUAGCCGACCUGAGAGGGUGAUCGGCCACAUUGGAACUGAGACACGGUCCAAACUCCUACGGGAGGCAGCAGUA
Molecule: ribosomal RNA, 325 nt
Filed under: uncultured bacterium
Lineage: Bacteria
Description: bacterial SSU rRNA
Rfam family: Bacterial small subunit ribosomal RNA
Source: RNAcentral